GACGAACGCUGGCGGCGUGCUUAACACAUGCAAGUCGAACGGAAAGGCCCUGCUUUUGUGGGGUGCUCGAGUGGCGAACGGGUGAGUAACACGUGAGUAACCUGCCCUUGACUUUGGGAUAACUUCAGGAAACUGGGGCUAAUACCGGAUAGGAGCUCCUGCAGCAGGGGGGGGGUUGGAAAGUUUCGGCGGUUGGGGAUGGACUCGCGGCUUAUCAGCUGGUUGGUGGGGUAGUGGCUUACCAAGGCUUUGACGGGUAGCCGGCCUGAGAGGGUGACCGGCGACCAUGGGACUGCGAGACGGCGCAGACGCCUACGGUGGGCAGCAGUGGGGAAUAUUGCACAAUGGGCGCAAGCCUGAUGCAGCAACGCCGCGUUCGGGAUGACGGCCUUCGGGUUGUAAACCGCUUUCGCCUGUGACGAAGCGUGAGUGACGGUAAUGGGUAAAGAAGCACCGGCUAACUACGUG
This 468-nucleotide ribosomal RNA is filed under the name uncultured bacterium. Its description in RNAcentral is "partial 16S ribosomal RNA". It matches the Rfam family "Bacterial small subunit ribosomal RNA", at positions 28 to 507 of the family's 1533-position model. The record is from RNAcentral.